UUGAACGCUGGCGGCAUGCUUUACACAUGCAAGUCGAACGGCAGCGCGGGCUUCGGCCUGGCGGCGAGUGGCGAACGGGUGAGUAAUACAUCGGAACGUGCCCAGUAGUGGGGGAUAGCUCGGCGAAAGCCGGAUUAAUACCGCAUACGACCUGAGGGUGAAAGCGGGGGAUCUUCGGACCUCGCGCUAUUGGAGCGGCCGAUGGCAGAUUAGCUAGUUGGUGGGGUAAAGGCCUACCAAGGCGACGAUCUGUAGCUGGUCUGAGAGGACGACCAGCCACACUGGGACUGAGACACGGCCCAGACUCCUACGGGAGGCAGCAGUGGGGAAUUUUGGACAAUGGGCGAAAGCCUGAUCCAGCAAUGCCGCGUGUGUGAUGAAGGCCUUCGGGUUGUAAAGCACUUUUGGCGGGAACGAAAAGGACUGUGCCAAUACCACGGUUCGAUGACGGUACCCGCAGAAUAAGCACCAGCUAACUACGUG
RNAcentral lists this ribosomal RNA (483 nucleotides) under uncultured bacterium. RNAcentral's name for it is "partial 16S ribosomal RNA". It matches the Rfam family "Bacterial small subunit ribosomal RNA", at positions 29 to 507 of the family's 1533-position model. The record is from RNAcentral.